UACGUAGGGUGCGAGCGUUAAUCGGAAUUACUGGGCGUAAAGCGUGCGCAGGCGGUUCGUUGUGUCGGUGGUGAAAGCCCCGGGCUUAACCUGGGAAUGUCCAUGGAAACUGGCGAACUGGAGUGUGGCAGAGGGGGGUGGAAUUCCGCGUGUAGCAGUGAAAUGCGUAGAGAUGCGGAGGAACACCGAUGGCGAAGGCAGCCCCCUGGGCUAGCACUGACGCUCAGGCACGAAAGCGUGGGGAGCAAACAGG
RNAcentral lists this ribosomal RNA (253 nucleotides) under uncultured bacterium. RNAcentral's name for it is "partial 16S ribosomal RNA". It matches the Rfam family "Bacterial small subunit ribosomal RNA", at positions 524 to 776 of the family's 1533-position model. The record is from RNAcentral.